RNAcentral lists this ribosomal RNA (1518 nucleotides) under Salmonella enterica subsp. enterica. Its description in RNAcentral is "bacterial SSU rRNA". It matches the Rfam family "Bacterial small subunit ribosomal RNA". Lineage: Bacteria; Pseudomonadati; Pseudomonadota; Gammaproteobacteria; Enterobacterales; Enterobacteriaceae. RNAcentral also lists the same sequence under 1 other name. The record is from RNAcentral.
UGAUCAUGGCUCAGAUUGAACGCUGGCGGCAGGCCUAACACAUGCAAGUCGAACGGUAACAGGAAGCAGCUUGCUGCUUUGCUGACGAGUGGCGGACGGGUGAGUAAUGUCUGGGAAACUGCCUGAUGGAGGGGGAUAACUACUGGAAACGGUGGCUAAUACCGCAUAACGUCGCAAGACCAAAGAGGGGGACCUUCGGGCCUCUUGCCAUCAGAUGUGCCCAGAUGGGAUUAGCUUGUUGGUGAGGUAACGGCUCACCAAGGCGACGAUCCCUAGCUGGUCUGAGAGGAUGACCAGCCACACUGGAACUGAGACACGGUCCAGACUCCUACGGGAGGCAGCAGUGGGGAAUAUUGCACAAUGGGCGCAAGCCUGAUGCAGCCAUGCCGCGUGUAUGAAGAAGGCCUUCGGGUUGUAAAGUACUUUCAGCGGGGAGGAAGGUGUUGUGGUUAAUAACCGCAGCAAUUGACGUUACCCGCAGAAGAAGCACCGGCUAACUCCGUGCCAGCAGCCGCGGUAAUACGGAGGGUGCAAGCGUUAAUCGGAAUUACUGGGCGUAAAGCGCACGCAGGCGGUCUGUCAAGUCGGAUGUGAAAUCCCCGGGCUCAACCUGGGAACUGCAUUCGAAACUGGCAGGCUUGAGUCUUGUAGAGGGGGGUAGAAUUCCAGGUGUAGCGGUGAAAUGCGUAGAGAUCUGGAGGAAUACCGGUGGCGAAGGCGGCCCCCUGGACAAAGACUGACGCUCAGGUGCGAAAGCGUGGGGAGCAAACAGGAUUAGAUACCCUGGUAGUCCACGCCGUAAACGAUGUCUACUUGGAGGUUGUGCCCUUGAGGCGUGGCUUCCGGAGCUAACGCGUUAAGUAGACCGCCUGGGGAGUACGGCCGCAAGGUUAAAACUCAAAUGAAUUGACGGGGGCCCGCACAAGCGGUGGAGCAUGUGGUUUAAUUCGAUGCAACGCGAAGAACCUUACCUGGUCUUGACAUCCACAGAAGAAUCCAGAGAUGGAUUUGUGCCUUCGGGAACUGUGAGACAGGUGCUGCAUGGCUGUCGUCAGCUCGUGUUGUGAAAUGUUGGGUUAAGUCCCGCAACGAGCGCAACCCUUAUCCUUUGUUGCCAGCGGUUAGGCCGGGAACUCAAAGGAGACUGCCAGUGAUAAACUGGAGGAAGGUGGGGAUGACGUCAAGUCAUCAUGGCCCUUACGACCAGGGCUACACACGUGCUACAAUGGCGCAUACAAAGAGAAGCGACCUCGCGAGAGCAAGCGGACCUCAUAAAGUGCGUCGUAGUCCGGAUUGGAGUCUGCAACUCGACUCCAUGAAGUCGGAAUCGCUAGUAAUCGUGGAUCAGAAUGCCACGGUGAAUACGUUCCCGGGCCUUGUACACACCGCCCGUCACACCAUGGGAGUGGGUUGCAAAAGAAGUAGGUAGCUUAACCUUCGGGAGGGCGCUUACCACUUUGUGAUUCAUGACUGGGGUGAAGUCGUAACAAGGUAACCGUAGGGGAACCUGCGGUUGGA